AACGAACGCUGGCGGCAGGCCUAACACAUGCAAGUCGAGCGCGCCCUUCGGGGUGAGCGGCGGACGGGUUAGUAACGCGUGGGAACGUGCCCAGAUCUAAGGAAUAGCCACUGGAAACGGUGAGUAAUACCUUAUACGCCCUUCGGGGGAAAGAUUUAUCGGAUUUGGAUCGGCCCGCGUUAGAUUAGGUAGUUGGUGGGGUAAUGGCCUACCAAGCCUACGAUCUAUAGCUGGUUUUAGAGGAUGAUCAGCAACACUGGGACUGAGACACGGCCCAGACUCCUACGGGAGGCAGCAGUGGGGAAUCUUGGACAAUGGGGGCAACCCUGAUCCAGCCAUGCCGCGUGAGUGAUGAAGGCCUUAGGGUCGUAAAGCUCUUUCGCCUGUGAUGAUAAUGACAGUAGCAGGUAAAGAAACCCCGGCUAACUCCGUGCCAGCCGCCGCCGUAACAC
Molecule: ribosomal RNA, 452 nt
Filed under: uncultured bacterium
Lineage: Bacteria
Description: bacterial SSU rRNA
Rfam family: Bacterial small subunit ribosomal RNA
Source: RNAcentral